Molecule: transfer RNA, 68 nt
Filed under: Pristurus carteri
Lineage: Eukaryota; Metazoa; Chordata; Lepidosauria; Squamata; Sphaerodactylidae
Description: tRNA-Ala
Source: RNAcentral
GAGGUCUUAGCUUAAUGAAAGUGUCCGGGUUGCAUUCGGGUGAUGCACAAUAGAGUUGUGCAGGCCUU